Molecule: ribosomal RNA, 385 nt
Filed under: uncultured bacterium
Lineage: Bacteria
Description: bacterial SSU rRNA
Rfam family: Bacterial small subunit ribosomal RNA
Source: RNAcentral
AAUGGGCGAAAGCCUGAUGCAGCAACGCCGCGUGAGUGAUGAAGGCUUUCGAGUCGUAAAGCUCUUUGAUCAGGGAUGAUAAUGACAGUACCUGAAAAACAAGCCACGGCUAACUACGUGCCAGCAGCCGCGGUAAUACGUAGGUGGCGAGCGUUGUCCGGAAUUACUGGGCGUAAAGGAUGCGUAGGUGGAUAAUUAAGUGGGAUGUGAAAUCCCCGGGCUCAACCCGGGAACUGCAUACCAAACUGGUUAUCUAGAGUGCAGGAGAGGAAAGUAGAAUUCAUAGUGUAGCGGUGAAAUGCGUAGAUAUUAUGAGGAAUACCAGUGGCGAAGGCGACUUUCUGGACUGUAACUGACACUGAGGCAUGAAAGCGUGGGUAGCAAA